ACACACCAUGGCUUGUCCCCCAUAUCGUAACCACGGGAACUGCACCAACCAUUGUUGUUGAAAACUGUACUUUUUUUUUUUCUCCCCACUCCCCCCCGCCUUUUUCACCAACCUGUCACUGUCGCUUCCUCUGCUAACCCUUCUCCACCACCACCAACAGUAGGGGUGCAAUGGAUCACAAAACUCACGGUUCGGAUCGUGUCACGGUUUUUGAAUCACGGGUCGGAUCAUUUUCGGAUCAACAACAGCAAAAAAGAUAACGAGACAAAUGUGACUUUAAAUAAAAUCUUCAAAUGUGUAAAAACAAAAUAAAGUGAAAAAUUUGAUAUUAGGGAUGGGCGUGAGGAAUCGAUUACUCGAGUACUACUCGUUACAAAUGAACUCGGUUGGUGGACAGGCAAACUCGAGUUUGCAUAUACACACACAAACAAAGUUUUCUGAAGCAAAUGUAUCAAUUUUCUGUCGGCGCCACUAACGCAUGACGUGGGCACAAAGAAAAUUAAAUGCAUCCAUUUCCAUGGCGCGUUCCGUGGCGUGUGCAGGCACGCCAGAAUUCAAAAAGUUAAGAGAUGGCGGUUAAAGCAAACCGCAGCGAAGAAUUGAAAUACUUUAAAGAAAUAGGAGAUCAUAAGGUGAAAUGAAAAAUAUGCCAAGCGAAAUCGAGCUACCAGAAAGUACUAUGCGGCAACAUAUGCUCCUGAAACACAACAGUGAGUUCGGGAAAGCAGACCCGCAGCAACGGUGAAAGUGAAAGUGUGUCGGCUAUAUUUUCACCGCCGCAAGACGCAGCUGUAAUCCCGGGCGUGUAGAGAAGAUCACAACGCUGAGUAUUUCCAUAGUCCAUUUGCUGCCGUUUUAUUUGCAGCUUUAAGCAUUUAUUUGCAAUUGUUAGGCUACUUGUUUCGUUUUUUUUAAACUGUUACAGGCCUUGGUUCGACGUGAUUUAAAUUGUGAGACGCAUAUUUAUUUUUGUAAGGGAAAUGUGUUUUGAACGUUUGCAAAAAUAAAUAAUGAAUACUCUGAUAA
Molecule: long non-coding RNA, 1026 nt
Organism: Gadus macrocephalus (Pacific cod)
Lineage: Eukaryota; Metazoa; Chordata; Actinopteri; Gadiformes; Gadidae
Exons: 2
Source: RefSeq, a predicted model, not a curated record